CAAGAGUAAGAAGAGGAAACAACGCUAUCUCCCCCAAAAUAAGCCAGUGAAGAAGAAGGGCCCCUACCCUUUACGCCCAGGAGUUCAGGGCUUCUUUAUCACUUGUGAUGGUGGCAAAGAGCGCCAAGCCUCUCAUGAGGCUAUUAACGUUAUUGAUUCUUUUUAUGAAGAGCUGAUCCAUGGUAAGGAUACAGAUGUAAAGCCAGCA
Molecule: unclassified non-coding RNA, 208 nt
Filed under: Hevea brasiliensis (rubber tree)
Lineage: Eukaryota; Viridiplantae; Streptophyta; Magnoliopsida; Malpighiales; Euphorbiaceae
Source: RNAcentral